Molecule: ribosomal RNA, 427 nt
Filed under: uncultured prokaryote
Description: bacterial SSU rRNA
Rfam family: Bacterial small subunit ribosomal RNA
Source: RNAcentral
UGGGGAAUUUUGGACAAUGGGCGCAAGCCUGAUCCAGCCAUGCCGCGUGAGUGAAGAAGGCCUUCGGGUUGUAAAGCUCUUUCGGCGGGGAAGAAAUUGCGUGGGUUAAUACCCUGCGUAGAUGACGGUACCCGCAUAAGAAGCACCGGCUAACUACGUGCAAGCAGCCGCGGUAAUCCGUAGGGUGCGAGCGUUAAUCGGAAUUACUGGGCGUAAAGCGUGCGCAGGCGGUUAUAUAAGUCAGAUGUGAAAGCCCCGGGCUCAACCUGGGAACUGCAUUUGAGACUGUAUGACUAGAGUGUGGCAGAGGGGGGGGGAAUUCCACGUGGAGCAGUGAAAUGCGUAGAGAUGUGGAGGAACACCGAUGGCGAAGGCAGCCCCCUGGGCCAAUACUGACGCUCAUGCACGAAAGCGUGGGGAGCAAACA